Molecule: unclassified non-coding RNA, 523 nt
Filed under: Hevea brasiliensis (rubber tree)
Lineage: Eukaryota; Viridiplantae; Streptophyta; Magnoliopsida; Malpighiales; Euphorbiaceae
Source: RNAcentral
AAAAAUUGUCGGGUUUCCAAAUCCUCUCUGCUCCCUAUAUCUGAUUUUCCUAUUCUCCCAACACCAUUAAUGUUUGUUCUUCCAAGUACAUGAAAAAAAAUGGACAUGCAGAUGAUGAAGCCGUUUCAAGCUACAUGCACUCGAUAGAAACUCUUUUAUUCACAUAAAUGUAAAGUCCAUUUUCUAUAAUUUAUGGAAGAUCCACACGUAUGUAUGUUGGGAGCAUUAUUUUCUUGUGCACUAAAAGCAGAUGAUAAUCUUCCAAAUUCCACGACUUCUAUUGUCCCUGCCUUUAGAGUUCUCCAAUUUAAAGUCAUUUUCAGAGUCUUUACCAUUUGACGCCUAGCAAGUGAAAAUGUAAUAAUUUCCAGGAAAACCAUGAACAUCUAUCGAGACUGAAAUCAUGCAAAGGGGUACCACACUACACAGCUUGAAAAUUUCCAGGAAAGCUGUGAAAAUCUAUCAAGACGGAAACCAAGCAGAGCAAAGGUGUUACACAACUUAAUAAUAAUAAUAAUAAUAA